RNAcentral lists this ribosomal RNA (122 nucleotides) under Escherichia coli IS1. RNAcentral describes it as "Large Subunit Ribosomal RNA; lsuRNA; LSU rRNA". The stretch from base 1 to 102 matches the Rfam family "Bacterial large subunit ribosomal RNA", at positions 2824 to 2925 of the family's 2925-position model. The record is from RNAcentral. Lineage: Bacteria; Pseudomonadati; Pseudomonadota; Gammaproteobacteria; Enterobacterales; Enterobacteriaceae.
GUCCUGAAGGAACGUUGAAGACGACGACGUUGAUAGGCCGGGUGUGUAAGCGCAGCGAUGCGUUGAGCUAACCGGUACUAAUGAACCGUGAGGCUUAACCUUACAACGCCGAAGAUGUUUUG